CCUACGGGAGGCAGCAGUGGGGAAUAUUGCACAAUGGGCGAAAGCCUGAUGCAGCGACGCCGCGUGAGGGACGAAGGCCUUCGGGUUGUAAACCUCUUUCAGCAGGGAAGAAGCGAAAGUGACGGUACCUGCAGAAGAAGCGCCGGCUAACUACGUGCCGGCAGCCGCGGUAAUACGUAGGGCGCAAGCGUUAUCCGGAAUUAUUGGGCGUAAAGAGCUCGUAGGCGGUUUGUCGCGUCUGCUGUGAAAGCCCGGGGCUCAACCCCGGGUCUGCAGUGGGUACGGGCAGACUAGAGUGCAGUAGGGGAGACUGGAAUUCCUGGUGUAGCGGUGAAAUGCGCAGAUAUCAGGAGGAACACCGAUGGCGAAGGCAGGUCUCUGGGCUGUAACUGACGCUGAGGAGCGAAAGCAUGGGGAGCGAACAGGAUUAGAUACCCUGGUAGUCCAUGCCGUAAACGUUGGGCACUAGGUGUGGGGGACAUUCCACGUUUUCCGCGCCGUAGCUAACGCAUUAAGUGCCCGCCUGGGGAGACGCGCGAGACAACUACANAGAGUAGACGCGUGAGACGUCGCCGACGGACGACGACGAGGGAGUUAGG
Molecule: ribosomal RNA, 599 nt
Filed under: uncultured bacterium
Lineage: Bacteria
Description: bacterial SSU rRNA
Rfam family: Bacterial small subunit ribosomal RNA (bases 1-524)
Source: RNAcentral